This 485-nucleotide ribosomal RNA is filed under the name uncultured bacterium. Its description in RNAcentral is "partial 16S ribosomal RNA". It matches the Rfam family "Bacterial small subunit ribosomal RNA", at positions 28 to 523 of the family's 1533-position model. The record is from RNAcentral.
GACGAACGCUGGCGGCGUGCUUAACACAUGCAAGUCGAACGAAGCACUUUGGAAGCUUGCUUUUAGAGUGACUGAGUGGCGGACGGGUGAGUAACGCGUGGGUAACCUGCCUUAUACAGGGGGAUAACAGUUGGAAACGACUGCUAAUACCGCAUAAGCGCACAGUGCCGCAUGGCACAGUGUGAAAAACUCCGGUGGUAUAAGAUGGACCCGCGUCUGAUUAGCUAGUUGGUGAGGUAACGGCUCACCAAGGCGACGAUCAGUAGCCGGCUUGAGAGAGUGAUCGGCCACAUUGGGACUGAGACACGGCCCAAACUCCUACGGGAGGCAGCAGUGGGGAAUAUUGCACAAUGGGGGAAACCCUGAUGCAGCAACGCCGCGUGAGUGAAGAAGUAUUUCGGUAUGUAAAGCUCUAUCAGCAGGGAAGAUAAUGACGGUACCUGACUAAGAAGCCCCGGCUAACUACGUGCCAGCCGCCGCAGUAA